GGGCACAUGGUGUAGUUGGUUAUCACAUCCGCUUAGCAAUGUCCAUCUUAUCAUUGCGAUGCGGGGGGUGCUGGGUUCAAUUCCCAGUGUGUCCA
Molecule: transfer RNA, 95 nt
Organism: Moniliophthora roreri MCA 2997
Lineage: Eukaryota; Fungi; Basidiomycota; Agaricomycetes; Agaricales; Marasmiaceae
Rfam family: tRNA
About the family: Transfer RNA (tRNA) molecules are approximately 80 nucleotides in length. Their secondary structure includes four short double-helical elements and three loops (D, anti-codon, and T loops).
Source: Rfam